GGAAUCAUUGUGGAAGAGUGGACAGAGAGAUAAGGGCCAGAGGCUGUGUGUGACUGCAAGGAAACUAUCUUGUGGGUGCAGCGGGGCGGUGCACAGAUGGACUCCCAGUGGUUGCGACAGCAUGCAUAGGACCUGAACAAGCUCAAGCCAGACUAAGUGUCCGCAUGCAAGGCAGAGUGAGGCAUGAGAGUCCACCCUCAACUGUGCAGCUGCUGGGCAAUGAAAAGUCCGUUUCUCCAGGAGCACAGCCUCUGGGAUCAAACCCAGGGCCUCACGCACAAGGCAAGCACUGCCACAGAGCCACAACCCCUGGAUCACGGUGGAAGUUUUAUAUUCUGACUGCUAUCACGGCUGUAGGACUCAAUACCACUGUGGAAACUCAGCUUCGUUGAGCAUACACCAGAUCAACUUUGUUGUAAGUUUCAAAAGCCAACAAGCAUUUGCUGAAGGUCUCUGGAAAACUGUCAGACUGUGAUGAGGUGAGAAGGGAGCACCUCCCUUGGACACAUACCGGAGGGUCCUCCUGAGCAGAGCCUUGCCACAUCCAGUCACGAAAGAGCCUGCUGCUUUCCAAACGCCACUCACUGGACUGCCUCAGUGAGCCAGCGUUAGCGAUGGCUUGACGAUGUUCUGGAAAACUCUGCAGACUGCUGCCCUCGGUGGGCCCCCAUCCAUCCUGGCCCCACUUUGUCCUGGGCAGACAAGAGGCUCAGGGCUCAUCUGACGAGUCGAGGAGUCGUGACUCUGGCUUAACAACAAACGACGCUUCCUUUCCAGGAAGCCCAGUCACACGGCGAGUUCUGCUGACGAUGCAGCUUUCUGGUCAAAGUUUCAAGUUCUGAGUUUGUUCACCAGCAAUAGAUGGUUUCAUUCCUCAUCUUGAUGCUGUGAGAUGACCCAGAAUGCAGGCAACCAGAGGCACAGCCAUUAGAGUCCAAAUUAGCC
Molecule: non-coding RNA, 945 nt
Organism: Myodes glareolus (Bank vole)
Lineage: Eukaryota; Metazoa; Chordata; Mammalia; Rodentia; Cricetidae
Source: RefSeq, a predicted model, not a curated record